UACGUAGGGGGCGAGCGUUGUCCGGAAUCAUUGGGCGUAAAGCGCGUGUAGGCGGCCCGGUAAGUCCGCUGUGAAAGUCCAGGGCUCAACCCUGGGAUGCCGGUGGAUACUGUCGGGCUCGAGUCCGGAAGAGGCGAGUGGAAUUCCUGGUGUAGCGGUGAAAUGCGUAGAGAUCAUGAGGAAGACCAGUGGCGAAGGCGGGUCUCUGGACAGUUCCUGACACUGAGACACGAAGGCCAGGGGAGCAAACGGG
RNAcentral lists this ribosomal RNA (253 nucleotides) under uncultured bacterium. RNAcentral's name for it is "partial 16S ribosomal RNA". It matches the Rfam family "Bacterial small subunit ribosomal RNA", at positions 524 to 776 of the family's 1533-position model. The record is from RNAcentral.